GCCGGGCGCGGUGGCUCACGCCUGUAAUCCCAGCACUUUGGGAGGCUGAGGUGGGCGGAUCACUUGAGGUCAGGAGUUCUGAGAGCAGCCUGGCCAAUAUGGUGAAACCCCGUCUCCA
This is a non-coding RNA of Pan troglodytes (chimpanzee), 118 nucleotides long. It matches the Rfam family "Metazoan signal recognition particle RNA". Rfam says of the family: The signal recognition particle (SRP) is a universally conserved ribonucleoprotein. It is involved in the co-translational targeting of proteins to membranes. The record is from Rfam. NCBI's taxonomy places the organism in Eukaryota, Metazoa, Chordata, Mammalia, Primates, Hominidae.